GGAGGGUGCAAGCGUUGUUCGGAAUUACUGGGCGUAAAGCGCGCGUAGGCGGCCUCUUAUGUCAGGUGUGAAAGCCCUCGGCCCAACCGAGGAAGUGCGCCUGAAACUGAGAGGCUUGAGUACGAGAGAGGAGGACGGAAUUCCCAGUGUAGAGGUGAAAUUCGUAGAUAUUGGGAAGAACACCGGUGGCGAAAGCGGUUCUCUGGAUCGAUACUGACGCUAAGGCGCGAAAGCGUGGGGAGCAAACAGGAUUAGAUACCCUGGUAGUCCACGCUGUAAACGAUGGAUAUUAGUUGUUGCGGGCUUAUAAACUCGCAGUGACGACGCUAACGCAUUAAAUAUCCCGCCUGGGGACUACGCCGCAAGGUUA
This 370-nucleotide ribosomal RNA is filed under the name uncultured organism. RNAcentral's name for it is "partial 16S ribosomal RNA". It matches the Rfam family "Bacterial small subunit ribosomal RNA", at positions 527 to 896 of the family's 1533-position model. The record is from RNAcentral.